GAGAAGUUUUCUACUGUGGAGAGAGAGAAGGAGAGAGACCUUAGGACAAUCAGGCCUAAAUGGAUGUCUCCAUUAAGUCCCCCUCCUCAGAGCUCAGGGAUACUGCAAAAGAGGAAGCUGAAAUAUUGUAAGAGCCAGAGGGUGGAGGACACCAAGGAAACACAGCCCUCAAAGCACAGCAGUACUGACAUACAUAAAAACUCACAGAGAAUUAUCAUCCAAAGUAAUGGACUUUCUUUUGACUUACAGUUGCAGAGGAUAAGAGUCCAUGGUGACAGAUAAGCAUCGCAGUAAGAGGCAGGAAUCUGAGAGCUCACAGCUUCAAUGGCAAACGGGAAGCACAGAGAUCAAACUGGUGAGGCAGCACGGUUAACUGGGGAUCGAGUGUUCAAAUGCCUGAGCCUACAGGGGACAUUUUUCAUUUCAAGCUCCACAGUAACCAUCAGAGGUCUUUAUAGACUCCCAACUUGGGCUGUGAGGGCUCCAGUGGCAUCCUUUUUCGGAUACUGUUUGGUUCCUGGUAAUGCAGUUCUCUAUAAGACAGUUGCAACUCACUUAAGAUCGGAAAGGAAAAAUGUUUGCAGAGAACCCUGGCCUUUCUCUUCACAUUGUGGCUGUAAUACUGAAUGGGAAAGAGAACAUCCCUGGCCUGGUGAAGUAUAUUUUCUACUGGGACAGAUUUCUUGGGCUUUCUUUAUAUUGUCAUUAAAUUUGGAUCUGCGCUCAAAUUAAAUUUGCAUGAAUGCUAUUUUGAGGCACUCACUUCCCUCUGCCAUUCAGAAACUUCUUCAGAUGUCAGGCAUGACAAGAAGUGAACAUGAAUGUAGACAAUGUCUGCCGAGGCUCUGCCAACAGUUGAUUCAAAUACCAUGCCUGUUCAGCUCAGUGAGAUGAAACUGUGAUUGUUGAUUGCACACAAAUCCUACUUCAGGGGGGAUUUAGCCAAUAAAAAGGUACCCAUUGACACAUUCUCAGCAAGAGAAAGAGAGCAAAGAAAUCAAUGCCAGGAAGCUGAGGAUGUCACUCUGUUGGUGGAGUACUUGCCCGGCACACGUGACCCUGGGUUCCAUUCCCAACAUCGCACACAGUCAGUGCAGUAGUGCAUGUCUAUAAGUCCAGCCAUGGGACAUAGCCACAAGAACGUCAGAAAUUCAAGGUAAUUCUCUGCUACAGAAAGGGUCUGAGACCAGCCUGGGAUACAUGAAACUUUUUCUUAAAACAAAAUGAAAAAGGAAAUCCACCUAAGUGCAGGUGCCGGUGGGAACAUAUUAGCAAGUGUAAUUGUCUGAAGCCUUUUGGCAGGCAGAAACCUAUAUAUCCUUCAAAGAUGUCACCUCUGUAACAAGUUACGAUGACUGAUGAUCAUCUUAUCAGCUGGCCUGCCCUCAGCUUUCAGUUACUACAACAAGUAAGAGACCCAGUCAACUUAUAAGGAAAAACAGGUUAAUUUUGGUUCAGACUUUAAAGGACUCGGUCCAUGCCAAAUUGCCCUUCUAAAUUCUGGUCCCAUAGCCUGGCAACAUAUGGGGACUGGGAGCACAGUGCUUGAGUCACUCAUGAAUUAGUCAGAUGUAAAAGAGAGAAAGAGAAGGGACUAGGGUUCCACAAUGCCUUUCAAGAGGAGUAAAUCUCAGUGCCCCAAAGACUUCCCAAUAGAACUCACCUCUUAAAGCUGAAAUCAAAUCCUCUCUAAUGCUCAGGCUUUUGGGGACACAGAAUAUCAAAUAACAGCCUUGGGAACCAGUGACGUAGCAAGACGCCAGACAGAUAUAUGUAGCCACAGUGGCUCCCCAGGACCAAUAAUUCUUUUCCAUGUCUGAAUUCUUUCAUUUAACCUAUGCCCUCCAGAUUCAUGCUAAUAGAUGGCCUCCUUCUUUAAUGAAUAUGAUGUCAACGUGACGUCAUUGUGGUUUUCCUUUCCCAUCCAUCACAUAAUGGGUACUCAAGUUGGCUUACAUUAUCGUGGCUCUACAGUACCAUGGAAUGUGGGUGUUUUCAGCAACCACCAUCAUCUUACUAAUCAACCUGGCCACCUUCACUUACAUUUCCAACAACAAAAGAAGGGGUGUCCCUUCAUCAGCCAUCCUUGCUGGGACUUGUUAUCUUUUUUGUUUUUAUGAUUUUUGUAACCAGUCUGGCAGGAAGGAGGAACUAUCCCAGUAUGGGGGUAUGUUGCAUUUCUCUGAUGAUUAGAGAUAAGGCCUUAAGAGUGAGGAACAUUUAUAAUUCGCAACACACAUUACCCAUUUAUACAGAAAGCCAGUCUCACAUUGUGAACAGUCUGAAGUUGUGGUAGGAAGUGUGCAUGGACUAAUUCUCCACUGACCUUUGCAAAGCUCAUGCCAGAGAUAAAGGAGGUUACUGGGUCUGGAAAUGGAUAGCACAGAUUCUGUCAUGUACUGAAUUUAUGUCUUGAUUGUACUUUGCUCACAAUGGACAAGGUCCAAACACCUGUCUUACCAUCCCCAUAUACGUGUCUAUCUAAUCUGUGAGCCUCUUGUACCACAUUCACCUGUCAUGAGGAGCAUGCGCUAAGCUGGUAGUUUAAAGAGUAUGUUUCCCUACACACAUCAUCUUGGAGCUCUGCUUAUGAACAGAGGCAUGGAGGACAACUGAACAGCAGUACAACAUCCAUUUAAUAGAUAUGAAACAGCAAGGGGCUUUGGAGUGUGGCACAUCCGUGACAAUGACAGACAGGGAUGGGAAGACAGCCCCAUUUGUGUCUUGCUGUCUGCUAGAAGAGACUUGUUGACCUCAUCGAGGGAUGAAAAGGAAAGCAUAGAUCCAGCAACCCCCAGGAAAAGAUUUUUUUUUGAUGGGAAACAGUCACCUAGACACAGUGAAACCAAACUGCAUAAUGACUGUGCUUUCAUAGGGGACCAUUAAACACAGUUUAAAUGUCAACACUGCCGGAGGAGAUGGCUUGUCUUGAGAAAAGCAGCUGUCAAAGCAAGUGCAUCCUAAGGAAGCCCGAAUAGCAUCCCGGUAGAAGAGAAUCCGGUCUCCAUGCUACAGAUGCUCCUGCUUCCCAGUGCACUCUGAUACAUACCACUAAAGACGCUCUUAAUUGUCUGAUUGUCCGCUGAGAAAUCUUCCGCUCUUCCUCUGCUCUCAUCAACAAGAGCUAUUCACAGCAUACAUGUCCUCUACUGUCACCAUGAAGAGAACUGAAUGUGGCACUUUUAAGUACUUUCCAGAUGUUUCCCCAGCUUCUUGAGAGCCACGGGAAGCAUCCCGUGGCUUGCUAUCGUAACAGGCUGGACCCCAAAAAAGGGGAUUUUGACGAGCAGGGUGAGUAUUCGACUUGGUGUGAAUACAACUCCACUAUAUGAUUAGGGAGUCAAGAAUGGGAACCCCAGAGGGAGAGAGUCAAGAAAAUCACUGGAGGGGAGGAGCCGGAACUACUACUCACUCAGAGUACUUAUGUGCACUUGGUCCACGCUGCCUACUGUGUGUAUAUGAAGGGGGUUAUCUUUUAGGGGAAGGGUACAUUAUGCACUCAUGGAU
This 3507-nucleotide long non-coding RNA is filed under the name Rattus norvegicus (Norway rat). Its description in RNAcentral is "long non-coding RNA NONRATT033386". Lineage: Eukaryota; Metazoa; Chordata; Mammalia; Rodentia; Muridae. The record is from RNAcentral.